AUUGAACGCUGGCGGCAUGCCUUACACAUGCAAGUCGAACGGCGGCACGGGAGCAAUCCUGGUGGCGAGUGGCGAACGGGUGAGUAAUAUAUCGGAACGUGCCCAGUCGUGGGGGAUAACGCAGCGAAAGCUGUGCUAAUACCGCAUACGAUCUACGGAUGAAAGCGGGGGAUCGCAAGACCUCGCGCGAUUGGAGCGGCCGAUAUCAGAUUAGCUAGUUGGUGAGGUAAAGGCUCACCAAGGCGACGAUCUGUAGCUGGUCUGAGAGGACGACCAGCCACACUGGAACUGAGACACGGUCCAGACUCCUACGGGAGGCAGCAGUGGGGAAUUUUGGACAAUGGGCGCAAGCCUGAUCCAGCAAUGCCGCGUGCAGGAUGAAGGCCUUCGGGUUGUAAACUGCUUUUGUACGGAACGAAACGGUGAGCUCUAAUACAGUUUGCUAAUGACGGUACCGUAAGAAUAAGCACCGGCUAACUACGUGCCAGCCGCCGCAGUAA
RNAcentral lists this ribosomal RNA (500 nucleotides) under uncultured bacterium. RNAcentral describes it as "partial 16S ribosomal RNA". It matches the Rfam family "Bacterial small subunit ribosomal RNA", at positions 30 to 523 of the family's 1533-position model. The record is from RNAcentral.